UUGCACAAGUUGUAGCUUGGAUGGGAAGGGGAAAAAGGAGGAUCGUAGGAUGCUGAGCUCUCUUAUCCAGCACAGAGCAGCAGGACACACGGGCUAUGCAGAUCAUCUCAAGGAAAUAAAAAACAUCAUUCUGGCUUCAUUUGUGUGCAUCUGCUGGAUCUCUCUGCUA
Non-coding RNA from Sturnus vulgaris (Common starling), 169 nucleotides. The record is from RefSeq and is a predicted model, not a curated record. NCBI's taxonomy places the organism in Eukaryota, Metazoa, Chordata, Aves, Passeriformes, Sturnidae.